AUGGUCAGAAACUACCAGUACAAUGAUCUUAAGUGUCAUCUGUUCAUUCAUUUUUUAAUCAGAAUAUUUACUAAGCAGACAACAUGGGCACAACUCCUAUGGAAAAGCACAUAUGGAGAGGUCUUCAAGUGGUCAGCCAAAGGUCCCUGUGAGACCCAGUCUUCCCUAGACCUUCUGAAGUGUCCUAAAAUACUGUCAGUAAGAAGUGUAUUCAUUGUAGAUACCUGCUAUGCGAGAAGACGUUCUUUAGAAUUCCAAGACUUUUGUCUUCAUUUCAGAGUCAACAUGACACGGUGUUUAAUCUAUCUGAUUGCUGUGCAAGGUUACCUUCACAAAUUAAGAGAGGGCUCAAAGUAUUUUUUAAAGAAAUUACCAGUGUUAGCCCUAGACUGCCUUUUUGCCUUAACUGAUAUCCCACUUUCCCUUAGAGAUACUUAACUUUAAAAUUGAGUCAGCACUGAAAAAAAAAAAAAAAAUCCACACUAUCAAAAUGCACUCUGUAGAAGUGACUAGAAUCAGUAUUUUAUUUACAGAUCCAAGAUGCAUUCAACAUGGCUGUCUCACCAGCCAAGGCAGGGUGAAAGUCAGGGUCAUUUUCGGAACUUCAAUUAAAUAGAUUACAUUCAGCAGGGGCACAAAUGGAGGCCAUUAUCAUUAAAGUUGAGUUGAGAGAGAGGUUGCAAACGUGGGCACCGCCUGAAGAUCACAGGAAAAUGUGUGUUUGUGCUAGAUCUGUAAAGAGUUGGCUUUUAUUUCUUUUCCCUGGAAGUUACACUUGCCAGGAAUCAUGUAUCUGACUAUAAUAAUGAGGUUAUAUGACUUUACAUAUUGAAAAGAUACCUAAACAUAAUAACAAUAUUACUUUGAACUUGCACUGGACUCUUCAUCCAAGAACUUCUCCAUCAUUAGCUAAUCGAAUCUCACGGUGUGGAAAUGAAAGUAUCUACUUACCUCACUUUACCAAAGGGAGUGUUUCUGAGGGGUUAAGUGACAGUGAACAUUUAAAUGGAAGGUAGUAGGGAAAUGGGGACAGAAAUGUCUUGCUGAAUAAUGUAGAUAUCUGGGAAUGAAACUCAAAGGUUCACAUAAGGGCCAUUCAUCUAAUCGAACACUUUAAUUUUUUUUUUAAUGUUUAUUUUUGAGAGAGACAGAGCAUGAGCAGGGGAGGUGCAGAGAAAGAGGGAGACACAGAAUCGGAAGCAGGCUCCAGGCUCUGAGCUGUCAGCACAGAGUCCAAUGCGGGGCUCGAACUCACGAACUGUGAGAUCAUGACCUGAGCCGAAGUCAGAUGCUCAACCAACUGAACCACCCAGGUGCCCCUAAUCGAUCACUUUAGAAGGCUACAUCUAAAUGUCACCAGAUAUAUAGAAAAUGCUGCUUUCAUAAGUUCUCAGAAAAGGACACUCUUCUAAUUCUUCUUACCAAACUAUGUUGAUGUCUUUACAAAUUAAGUUCUUUAUAAAAUAAAUUUUUGUUUUCA
RNAcentral lists this long non-coding RNA (1480 nucleotides) under Lynx canadensis (Canada lynx). RNAcentral describes it as "lncRNA (ENSLCNG00005014894.1)". The record is from RNAcentral. Lineage: Eukaryota; Metazoa; Chordata; Mammalia; Carnivora; Felidae.